ACAAAAUUGCUAAGAAUCUUUGGACAUAUGUCUGUUGAAGUGUUGGGGGGUUUGCCAAAUGUGGUCAGCACUACUUGUUAGUGCGGUUAGGGCACAGCUGUUUGUGACAGUCCUUUUAUUCUUCUGUUAAAAGCUUCUUGUGUUCUUCUGUACUUCUCUCAAUUUGACCUUGUGAGUAGUCCAUGCAAGACCUUCAUGUGCAGUUUCACUCUUAAAGGGGAACAUUAUCAGCAGACCUAUGUAAGCGUCAAUAUAUACCUUGAUGUCGCAGAAAAAAGACCAUAUAUUUUUUUAACCGAUUUCCGAACUCUAAAUGGGUGAAUUUUGGCGAAUUAAACGCCUUUCUGUUUAUCGCUCUCUCAGCGACGACGUCAGAACGUGACGUCACAUCGGUCGUCAACGCCAUGUUUCCCUACCACAUCGAGUCAAAUCAGCUCUGUUAUUUUCCGUUUUUUCGACUGUUUGCCGGUACCUUGGAGACAUCAUGCCUCGUUGGUGUGUUGUCGGAGGGUGUAACAACACGAUCAUGGACGGAUCCAAGUUGAUUUACGUAGAAUGUGCAUCGAUUAGCACGGCAUGCUAAUCGAUGCUAACAUGCUAUUUAGGCUAGCUGUGUGCAUUAUGCCUCAUUUGUAGCUAUAUUUACAUCCAGCCUUUCCCUCCAUCCACAUUUAAUGGCAAAAAAACACUUACCAAUCGACGGAUUUAAGUUGCUCCAGUGCAGCAUCGCGUGGACAUCGGGGGCGGUACCUCUGGAUUGGCACACCGGGGUGGUGGUUCCUCUCUUUAAGAAGGAGGACCGGAGGGUGUGUUUCAACUAUGGUGGGAUCACACUCCUCAGUCUUCCCGGUAAGGUUUAUUCAGGUGUACUGGAGAGGAGGCUACGCCGGAUAGUCGAUCCUCGGAUUCAGGAGGAACAGUGUGGUUUUCGUCCUGGUCGUGGAACUGUGGACCAGCUCUAUACUCUCCGCAGGGUUCUUGAGGGUGCAUGGGAGUUUGCCCAACCAGUCUACAUGUGCUUUGGGGACUUGGAGAAGGCAUUGGACCGUGUCCCUCUGGAAGUCCUGUGGGGAGUGCUCAGAGAGUAUGGGGUAUCGGACUGUCUGAUUGUGGCGGUCCGCUCCCUGUAUGAUCAGUGUCAGAGCUUGGUCCGCAUUGCUGGCAGUAAGUCGGACACGUUUCCAGUGAGAGUUGGACUCCGCCAAGGCUGUCCUUUGUCACCCAUUCUGUUCAUAACUUUUAUGGACAGAAUUUCUAGGCGCAGUCAAGGCGUUGAGGGGUUCCGGUUUGGUGGCUGCAGGAUUAGGUCUCUGCUUUUUGCAGAUGAUGUGGUCCUGAUGGCUUCAUCUGACCGGGAUCUUCAGCUCUUACUGGAUCGGUUUGCAGCAGAGUGUGAAGCGACCAGAAUGAGAAUCAGCACCUCAAAGUCCGAGUCCAUGGUUCUCGCCUUGAAAAGGGUGGAAUGCCAUCUCCGGGUUGGGGAGGAGACCCUGCCCCAAGUGGAGGAGUUCAAGUACCUAGGAGUCUUGUCCACGAGUGAGGGAAGAGUGGAUCGUGAGAUCGACAGGCGGAUCGGUGCGGCGUCUUCUGUAAUGCGGACAUUGUACCGAUCCGUUGUGGUGAAGAAGGAGCUGAGCCGGAAGGCAAAGCUCUCAAUUUACCGGUCGAUCUACGUUCCCAUCCUCACCUAUGGUCAUGAGCUUUGGGUCAUGACCGAAAGGAUAAGAUCACGGGUACAAGCGGCCCAAAUGAGUUUCCUCCGCCGUGUGGCGGGUCUCUCCCUUAGAGAUAGGGUGAGAAGCUCUGCCAUCCGGGAGGAACUCAAAGUAAAGCCGCUGCUCCUCCACAUGGAGAGGAGCCUGAUGAGGUGGUUCGGGCAUCUGGUCAGGAUGCCACCCGAACGCCUCCCUAGGGAGGUGUUUAGGGCACGUCCAACCGGUAGGAGGCCACGGGGAAGAACCAGGACACAUUGGGAAGAGUAUGUCUCCCGGCUGGCCUGGGAACGCCUCGGGAUCCCCCGGGAAGAGCUAGACGAAGUGGCUGGGGAGAGGGAAGUCUGGGCUUCCCUACUUAGGCUGCUGCCCCCUUGACCCGACCUCGGAUAAUCGGAAGAAGACGGAUGGAUGGACAGUGUCAAAAGAUGCGAAAGUCCCUCGUUUGGUUUUUACCGGCGAUGCUACGACAUAGAUGGCAAGAAUGUCUGGAUAUCCUGCGACACUCAAAGCAGAUGCAUUCUCAACGAUAAAGUCAACUGAAUCACAAAGCAUUCUAAAAAUCCUUGGUGAGUUGUCAUCAAAGGUAGUUGAAGAUUUCUCGAUGGCAACUCGUCGACACAACAUUCCCACUUCACAAGUCACUGUCACCUCCUCGGGGCGCGCAGUGAAGAGACGAAUCCAG
Molecule: RNA transcript, 2397 nt
Organism: Nerophis ophidion (straightnose pipefish)
Lineage: Eukaryota; Metazoa; Chordata; Actinopteri; Syngnathiformes; Syngnathidae
Gene: dcaf17
Gene name: ddb1 and cul4 associated factor 17
Exons: 3
Source: RefSeq, a predicted model, not a curated record